GAUGAACGCUGGCAGAAUGCUUAACACAUGCAAGUCAACUUGAACUUCGGUUUGGGUGGCGGACGGGUGAGUAACGCGUAAAGAACUUGCCUCACAGCUAGGGACAACAUUUGGAAACGAAUGCUAAUACCUGAUAUUAUGAUUAUAUGGCAUCGUAUAAUUAUGAAAGCUAUAUGCGCUGUGAGAGAGCUUUGCGUCCCAUUAGCUAGUUGGAGAGGUAACAGCUCACGAAGGCGAUGAUGGGUAGCCGGCCUGGGAGGGUGAUCGGCCACAAGGGGAUUCGGGAGGCAGCAGUACUCAAUCGGGAGGCAGGGGUGGAGAAUAUUGGCAGACAGACCGAGAGUGUGAAGAAGGAAUUCGGUGUGUAAAAUGAAGUUUUUCGGAAUGAAAAGUAGUUUGAGUUGGGAAGAAAGAAAUGACGGUACCAACAGAAGAAGCGACGGCUAAAUACGUG
Molecule: ribosomal RNA, 454 nt
Filed under: uncultured bacterium
Lineage: Bacteria
Description: partial 16S ribosomal RNA
Rfam family: Bacterial small subunit ribosomal RNA
Source: RNAcentral